Long non-coding RNA from Notolabrus celidotus (New Zealand spotty), 489 nucleotides. RefSeq lists it as uncharacterized. Lineage: Eukaryota; Metazoa; Chordata; Actinopteri; Labriformes; Labridae. The transcript is spliced from 4 exons. The record is from RefSeq and is a predicted model, not a curated record.
GUUCGCGCUCCACCACCUGGCCUCGCUCAAUAACGACACGUGAAGGCAAGAACUAUAGUAUGUGUGUGGUUUUCUAUAUUCUCAAAUCACUAAUCUUUCCCCUAUUCAAGCUCCAGGAGACCCCGAUGGCUGACUGCCAUCCUCACUUGUUUAGCACUCAAGCAGACGCUUUGCUUAUGUGAAAGGGGUGCAGAGUCACUUUGGCCAAGACGGUUGAUGUCCAUGAUGGCCACCAGGUUGUCGAGCUGAUAGUAGGAGGCGAACAUCAUGGCCUCCCAGACAGCACCCUCCGACAUCUCCCCAUCCCCCAGCAGGCAGUACACACGGUAACUGAGGAGAAGAACACACAAGACUGCACAAUAAAAACCCUCUCCAGUGGACCUCGAGGGUCAAGAUACACAGACAUGCCUGGAUGUCACUGAGACCUUAUUCUAAAUUACCUGCAGGCUAAAAAAGGAUAUAAUACCCUACUGUAAAAUUCAGACUGUU